Molecule: ribosomal RNA, 230 nt
Filed under: uncultured bacterium
Lineage: Bacteria
Description: partial 16S ribosomal RNA
Rfam family: Bacterial small subunit ribosomal RNA
Source: RNAcentral
AAAGGGUGCGUAGGCGGCCUGUUAAGUCAGGGGUGAAAGACGGUAGCUCAACUAUCGCAGUGCCCUUGAUACUGAUGGGCUCGAAUUGACUAGAGGUAGGCGGAAUGUGACAAGUAGCGGUGAAAUGCAUAGAUAUGUCACAGAACACCGAUUGCGAAGGCAGCUUACUAUGGUCUUAUUGACGCUGAGGCACGAAAGCGUGGGGAUCAAACAGGAUUAGAUACCCCAGU